CUCUAGUGACGCCAGAGCUCCAUCCCUCUGGACUCUGUCGGCUCACAGCACGGUCAUGAUCCCAGCUGCUCUCAUCAAGCUCUCUGCUGCUCUGCUCUGGCUUGGAGGUAGAACUAGCGGCAGUGAUAUCACUCAGACUCCUCUGCUGUGGGCCUACCAGGGUCAGUCCGCCACCAUCAACUGCAGUCACUCCAAAAAUUUUGACUUCGACCAGAUGUACUGGUACCAGCAGGUGCCGGAUCAGAACAUGAAGCAGAUAGUUUUCACCACGGCGUACAGCGCUGCCAAGUAUGAAGAGGGCUUCACCAAGGAGAAGUUUGAAGUGGAGAAGAAGGACCCUUACACCGGGUCUCUGACGGUGAAGCAGCUGCAGCCUGAAGACGGAGGAGUGUAUUUCUGUUCUGUCAGUAAACACAGUGAUGCAGCCGGUUGAAGGGCUGCACAAAAACCCAGAGACAGCGACAGAAAACUUCUUUAAUUUAACCUGUAGAUGGAGCUAAAGAGCAGAGUAGACUGUUUAUGUCAUAAAAUUGGGCUGUUUUGUCAAUAAAGAAAAAAGAAGAGAAAAGAUACAUGGAGAACAAUAAAUCUACACACUGAUACAACAAGAUGUUGGAUUUGAAUCAAUGAAUAAAUCACUUCUAUUGGGGUGAUGUUUGAGUAAAGAUUAUAACUUUAAAACCACAAACAAACCUCAUAGUAGGUGGUGAUUAUAUUACUUGAAAUACAAUGAAACUAAAGUAAUGAAAUUCUGAAUGAUUAUCAGAAUUGUUUUUCUUAUCUGGAC
Non-coding RNA from Poeciliopsis prolifica (blackstripe livebearer), 787 nucleotides. NCBI's taxonomy places the organism in Eukaryota, Metazoa, Chordata, Actinopteri, Cyprinodontiformes, Poeciliidae. The record is from the annotation of a RefSeq genome assembly.